AGGAUAAACGCUGGCGGCGUGCAUGAGACAUGCAAGUCGAACGGACGAUCGAGGCUUGCCUUGAUCGUUAGUGGCGGACGGCUGAGUAACGCGUGGGUGACCUGCCCCGAAGUGGGGAAUAACUGCCCGAAAGGGUGGCUAAUACCGCAUGUGGUGGUGUGUUCAUUCACACCAGUAAAGCCGCAAGGCGCUUCGGGAGGGGCCUGCGUCCGAUUAGCUCGUUGGUGGGGUAACGGCUCACCAAGGCGACGAUCGGUAGGUGGUCUGAGAGGACGAUCACCCAGACUGGGACUGAGACACGGCCCAGACUCCUACGGGAGGCAGCAGUCGGGAAUUUUGCGCAAUGGACGAAAGUCUGACGCAGCAACGCCGCGUGAGGGAUGAAGGCCUUCGGGUUGUAAACCUCUUUUAUCAGGGAAGAUAAUGACGGUACCUGAUGAAUAAGUCACGGCUAACUACGCGCCAGCAGCCGCGGU
RNAcentral lists this ribosomal RNA (476 nucleotides) under uncultured bacterium. RNAcentral's name for it is "SSU rRNA". It matches the Rfam family "Bacterial small subunit ribosomal RNA", at positions 26 to 521 of the family's 1533-position model. The record is from RNAcentral.